This is a long non-coding RNA of Oreochromis niloticus (Nile tilapia), 892 nucleotides long. RefSeq lists it as uncharacterized. The record is from RefSeq and is a predicted model, not a curated record. NCBI's taxonomy places the organism in Eukaryota, Metazoa, Chordata, Actinopteri, Cichliformes, Cichlidae. The transcript has 7 exons.
GGUGUGGGGAUAAUAUGUAAGACUGCAGUGAAGCGAUGUACCAGAUUAAUCCCUGGCCAAAGAACAGUUCUCCACAGUCACUGUCCACAUGGGUCAGUGGGACCAAGAAGCACUCUGCUAAUGUGUGGACUCUGACCAGCAACAUCCAGCAAGACCCAGACAGCGUUUUCUAUCUCCCAGCUGGAGUUUUUUGUCUGUCUGUGACUGGAGAGUCAGAUUUUUGUUGAGCUUCACACUUGCAGAGGCUAAUACACGCUACUGAUCCCUGAUGGGAGAAUCAUCAAUUUUGCCAACAAAGAAGCCUGGUGGAUGUUUGUUUACAGACUGAUGAUGGGACAUCAUGCUCUGCAUCUUCAAAUCUUUUUGCAGGAUCAGAAAACAAAACCAGGAGGUCCGUAAAUGUUUCUUCUCCAGUUGGAUGAUGAUAAGACUGUGACACAGGAUGCCACCUUGAGUCUAGUGAUGAAGCAAAGCUCAGGAAGAAGUGUGAUUAAAUGGUACCCACAUGUGUGCUGCUGAGAAGGAUGUACAGGGGCACCUGCAGCCAAAUCCAAGCCUCCUCAGGAGUGUUUCUGAGUGAGGGAGAGAGGAGUCAUCAUCCAGGUAAAGUGACGUGGAUCAGUGGACACACUUGUCUCCCCUUUAAAGGAGAUACUCGUAGAGAGAGACGAUCCGAGUCAUCCUUAAAUAUGGGCAGGAUAUCAGUCUUGGACUGUCUAACCUGCAGGAGCAGCACUGAAUGACCACCACACAUGAGCAUGUUCCUGCAACAUUCAGCAUCUGAUCUGCCAUCUGUGUGCUUCUGCUUUUGUGUCAAAUGUCAAACAGCUGGAGAGAAAACUACACCAGUGUACUGGGAUGUUUCACCAACACAUGCCAGAUGCUGUUCCUU